Molecule: transfer RNA, 89 nt
Filed under: Anaerolineae bacterium
Lineage: Bacteria; Bacillati; Chloroflexota; Anaerolineae
Also listed under: 1 other name
Description: tRNA-Ser
Rfam family: tRNA
About the family: Transfer RNA (tRNA) molecules are approximately 80 nucleotides in length. Their secondary structure includes four short double-helical elements and three loops (D, anti-codon, and T loops).
Source: RNAcentral
GGGGAGGUGCCAGAGAGGUCGAAUGGGGCCGCCUGCUAAGCGGUUACCGGGAUAAAACUCGGUCAUGGGUUCGAAUCCCAUCCUCCCCG